AAGUCGUAACAAGGUUUCCGUAGGUGAACCUGCGGAAGGAUCAUUAACACGUAUCCAACGUUAAAACCCCCCCGUGAACCUUCAGUGUGCUCGUACGCUUUGUUAGAAAGUAGCAAUCCCUGGUAAAUCAUCGCCGAACAGUUUUGAUUCAGGGACUUCUGCGAAGAGUGUGCUUGUAGCGCGAGGCAAGUGGCCUGGCAUCCUUGUCUGAAAGUGUCAAGGGUGGCGCAGUCACGAUCGCUAGAGGCCGUGAAAACGGGCCUGCGCUUAAUUGUGCGGCCAUAAACCGAACAACUGUUAACAAUGGAUAUCUUGGUUCUC
Molecule: unclassified non-coding RNA, 321 nt
Filed under: fungal sp.
Lineage: Eukaryota; Fungi
Description: partial internal transcribed spacer region
Rfam family: Eukaryotic small subunit ribosomal RNA (bases 1-46)
Source: RNAcentral